RNAcentral lists this ribosomal RNA (497 nucleotides) under uncultured bacterium. Its description in RNAcentral is "partial 16S ribosomal RNA". It matches the Rfam family "Bacterial small subunit ribosomal RNA", at positions 28 to 507 of the family's 1533-position model. The record is from RNAcentral.
GAUGAACGCUGGCGGCGUGCCUAAUACAUGCAAGUCGAGCGAACGGACGAGAAGCUUGCUUCUCUGAUGUUAGCGGCGGACGGGUGAGUAACACGUGGAUAACCUACCUAUAAGACUGGGAUAACUUCGGGAAACCGGAGCUAAUACCGGAUAAUAUUUUGAACCGCAUUGUUCAAAAGUGAAAGACGGUCUUGCUGUCACUUAUAGAUGGAUCCGCGCUGCAUUAGCUAGUUGGGAAGGUAACGGCUUACCAAGGCAACGAUGCAUAGCCGACCUGAGAGGGUGAUCGGCCACACUGGAACUGAGACACGGUCCAGACUCCUACGGGAGGCAGCAGUAGGGAAUCUUCCGCAAUGGGCGAGAGCCUGACGGAGCAACGCCGCGUGAGUGAUGAAGGUCUUCGGAUCGUAAAGCUCUGUUAUUAGGGAAGAACAUAUGUGUAAGUAACUGUGCACAUCUUGACGGUACCUAAUCAGAAAGCCACGGCUAACUACGUG